AUGAAAAAAGUAUCAAAACAGGGCAUUCAUAACUGUUCAAAUCUCUACAAUUUUCCCUCUCAAUUCCAGUCCACUAUGCUUAUAAAAGGAGACCAAGACAAUAACUUUAAAGGGAGGAAAAAUAGGAAAAAGAGAGAAAAAUUUAUUCAAGAAUCACAACAAAUAAUCAGAGUUAAAGGAGCUUGA
Vicia faba (fava bean) is the source of this 186-nucleotide non-coding RNA. Lineage: Eukaryota; Viridiplantae; Streptophyta; Magnoliopsida; Fabales; Fabaceae. The record is from the annotation of a GenBank genome assembly.